AUUGAACGCUGGCGGCAGGCCUAACACAUGCAAGUCGAACGAGUGGCGUACGGGUUAGUAAUGUCUGGGAAACUGCCUGAUGGAUGGGGAUAACUAAUGGAAACGGUAGCUAAUACCGCAUACCAUCAGAUGUGCCCAGAUGGCAUUAGCUUGUUGGUGGGGUAAAGGCGCACCAAGGCGACGAUCCCUAGCUGGUCUGAGAGGAUGACCAGCCACACUGGAACUGAGACACGGUCCAGACUCCUACGGGAGGCAGCAGUGGGGAAUAUUGCACAAUGGGCGCAAGCCUGAUGCAGCCAUGCCGCGUGUAUGAAGAAGGCCUUCGGGUUGUAAAGUACUUUCAGUGGGGAGGCGUUACCCGCAGAAGAAGCACCGGCUAACUCCGUGCCAGCAGCCGCGGUAAUUC
Molecule: ribosomal RNA, 406 nt
Filed under: uncultured bacterium
Lineage: Bacteria
Description: partial 16S ribosomal RNA
Rfam family: Bacterial small subunit ribosomal RNA
Source: RNAcentral